GACGAACGCUGGCGGCGUGCUUAACACAUGCAAGUCGAACGGAAAGGCCCCCCUCUUUGUGGGGGUGCUCGAGUGGCGAACGGGUUAGUAACACGUGGGUGAUCUCCCCUGUACUUCGGGCUAAGCUUGGUAAACUGUGUCUCAUACCGGAUAGGACCAUGGUUUAGUGUCUCUUGGUGGUCAGAUUAUUGUUUUGGUCCAUGUUGGGCUUGCGGCCUGUUAGCUUGUUGGUGGGGUAAUGGCCUACCAAGGCGUCGACAGGUAGCCGGCGUGAGAGGGUGGACGGACAGAGUGGGAGUGAGGUACGGGACAGACACGUACGGGAGGAAGGAGGAGGGAAGAACGCACAACGGGAGCAAGACUGAUGAAGGCACGGCGCGGGAAGGAGGACGGCGUGCGGGUUGUAAACUCCUUUCGUUAGGAACGAAGCCUCGCUUUUAUUGGGUGUGGUGACCGUACCUUUGAUAAGAAGCACCGGCUAACUACGUG
This 489-nucleotide ribosomal RNA is filed under the name uncultured bacterium. RNAcentral describes it as "partial 16S ribosomal RNA". It matches the Rfam family "Bacterial small subunit ribosomal RNA", at positions 28 to 507 of the family's 1533-position model. The record is from RNAcentral.